Molecule: long non-coding RNA, 4201 nt
Organism: Corythoichthys intestinalis (scribbled pipefish)
Lineage: Eukaryota; Metazoa; Chordata; Actinopteri; Syngnathiformes; Syngnathidae
Exons: 3
Source: RefSeq, a predicted model, not a curated record
CAGACCAAGGGUGAAUCUCAUUUCACCCCAUGGUCCUACCCCUUCCCGUCCCUUUUACGCGUUCACGUGUAGGGGUAGGGCUAUCCCAAUUCACGCUAAUGUGUAGGGGUAAGUGGGAGGGCCACGACGACCCUCACUCCAAACAGAGAGCUACGCCAAAGUUCCCAGAGUACAACGCAAAUCAUUUCCAAAAUGGCGGAAGUCAAGCACACAAAUGUAAGUAGUUGUGUUUUGCCCUAAUUUAACUCUUUCAACCGUUUUAAGUCGUGAUAACAGAUGGAUUGUGUGAGUUCGAGCUACGUCGCAAUGUGUAUUUUUUUUUUUUUUUUUUUUCCUGCUGUAAACGCGCAUGGGGGACAUCACUCUUUAUUGCAUAAAAAAGGAAUCGGUCAAUGUAUGUGAAGGUGCGGGGAAAAGUCGAAAAACAACACGGUUGUUGUUUUUUAACAUUCACGAGCAAUGGUCGCAUCAUUUCUAAAAUGGAGGAAGCACAGAAAGAAGUACACAAAUGUAAGGCGCUCAGGUAUUGCCCUAAUUUAAAAGUUGUGAUUUGUGUCAUAUUACAAGUAUUCAUGUUCGUGAAUACGAUUCACAAGGAGUCGAGCACAAACAAAGAGCCUGAUCAGGUUUGGCGCAGAAAAUGAAGAUCGCUUCUUGAAGUCCAAAGCCUCGGCAAAACAACAGUGGGAGAAGCUGAUCAAGGAGCUGGGACUGCAAUUCAAUUCCAUUUUAUUUGUAUAGCCCUAAAUCACAUCAAGGUUGUCUCAAAGGGCUUUGCAGAGGCAAUAUGAUACACAGUCAGAAACCGCAGAUGAAAUAAAUAAAGUUCAAGUCCUGGGCAUCCCCCAUCCUUCCACCCUCCAUGUCGGCAAGGAAAAACUCCAAAACUCUUUGGGAGAAAUGAGAAACCUUGGGGAGUACCGCAGUCAGGAGAGAUCCACUCCCAGGACGGAUAGGGAGCGCAUUUUAGCUCUGUUUGAGCGCAUGGUGGACAAAAUGUGGAAGUCGACGUGCCACGCACCUAUGAACGUGGCUGAGCCCAGAAUGUGCCAUGUGCUGUUCCUGCUCCGGUCACCCCACCAUCUCUUCAUUUUGUUUAUUGAUUGUUCAUGCAUUUCAGUUGAUGCUUUGUCAUAUUUUUUUCAUUUCAGAUAGUGUCAUUGACGGAGGAGACGUUUGUAAAACUCCGCCCGUUUCAGUCAAGACGGAUGUUUUAUAAAAGUACAGGUGCAGCUUUAAAAACUAAGAAAUGAGUGUUAAAAAUGGAGUUUGCUUACUUUAAUUAUACCAAAGUGUACAUCCAUUCGUGAAAGAUUUUGGAAGAAAAAGUUAGAAGUCUUCAUAUUUUGGAGCCAUCAAACCCUGCAAUAGAAAUACAAUAUGCUGAGGAGUUCAUAAAGCUCAAUUCAGCAUACUCCUGGGACAGGAUUCAGCCAUACAGCAACAAGUACAAAGGUGCUGUCAUCAUUCAUGAGGAGGCAGUGGACAAAGGAAGCGGUCAGUUAUUUUACAUGACAAGGGGUACACAGGAAAGCAGCUUGCUACAAUAUCAAGCGAUGGCAAGCAUGUUCUCUUUUUGGUUCCACUACAAGAGCAGCUGGACACAAGGCCACUACCUCUGGAUGCAGCGGAAUUUGCAAAUAUGUUCCCUGCACCAUGCCUCUGCAAAUGUUAUCACUACACGUGAAAACCUGCAACCCAAUAACAAAUGUAAGGUUUUUUUUGUUUUUUUUUUAUUGUUUGGAUGACUGAUUAACAUGCCACCUCACUACUCUUGAGAUGGUGGGUUCAGUGUUGGCCUAGUUUGCUUGUUUGUGUGGGUUUUUGCCGCGUACUCCGGUUUCCUCACACAUCCCCCCAAAUACUUUGGAAUAUUUUGUUACGUGUGGCCAGGGUGACUGUGUUGCACUUUCUCUGGCCACCGUUGGGUGCUUCGUUCUCCUACCCGGCUGCGGCACCUGAAGACAAUCGGCACUCUGCUUGCGCACAGGUCGGACAAAAUAAUGGAAACACCUAACGUUUUGGCGUCACGGUCAUUAAACAUAAUUGUUAAAGGAUGGCACGAGGAACGAAGUUAAGAAUCUCAUAUGGCCGGCACAAUCCCCCGACCGACCUUAACAUUAUUGAGCAUUUAUGGUCAGUUUUAGAGAUUCAAUGAAGAAAUCGAUUUCCACCGCCAUCAUCUCUAAAAGAGUUAGAGGGUAUUUGAACUGAAGAACGACUUAAAAUUCCUUUGGAAACAAUUCACAAGUUGUAUGAAUCAAUACUGCGGAGAAUUGAGGCUGUAAUUGACGCCAAAGGCGGACCCACACCAUAUUUAAUUCGUUUUUCAUUUUUGAAGGUGUUUCCAUUAUUUUGUCCAAAUCCUGUAUGUACAGCAGCAUGAGUGGUAAGGAGACGUAGGGGUGCAUUUUUCUUCUUCAGAUGUGGCACAUCAUUUGUGAUAAGGUUAUCAUUCCUAGUGAGGGUGAUUACAAAUAAUUGAAAGCUUUAUCCUGUGGUUGAAGUGUACCGUAAAUGAUGCAGCCAGAAGAUAGAGGAUUCUGCUGCUAUUGAUGCCACUGAAUUUGAGGAUAUUGAUCCAAAGGACAAUGCUGACUUGGAGGAGCAAGGUAUAAUAGUUGCAAAAAACCCCCCCAAACUCUUUGUUACGCUAUACUACUUUGAACAAGAGCUGUUACUUAUUCUUUUUUCAUUGUUUUUCACCCUUGUCAAUUUUCUGUCUAGUGCACAGGUAUGCCCUGUGUGCCGUAAAGAGUUUUCUCUUUCAGUGCUUCCAAGCCAUGGCAGCGUAUGUGCGGAAAGGUAGAAGAAAUGAUAGUCCCUUGUGAAAAAAGUGAUGAAUUCAUCCUAACAUAGAAAGAAAAUACAGUUUGAAACAUCUGACUCACCAUGGCUCUGAAGAGAAGUGUUUUUAUGCUCACGCAAUGACUAUGUGGUGGUGGUGGUGGUAUACAUGUAUAGCGCUUUUCCACCUUUCAAGUAUGCCUGUACAAUGGACAAUAGAGUAACCAAUUUUCAUAACUGUCAUGUGGACGCGGAACAGUGGAUGACUGUUUGCACAAUGCUUUACAGUUCUAAGGUGAAGGGUUCUUUACUGAAGUUUGAUUGUUUUCUUCGUGCCUGCGUGGGUUUGCGCCAGGUAGUCCAGUUUGGUCACAUGACCCAAAAAGAUGCAUGUGAGCAUGCUGGCUGAAUACUUCAAAAUGUCCCUAGGUAUGAAUGUGAGAGUGUCUCGGGCUCUGCAAUUGACUGGCAACCAGUCCAGGGUGUAACCUCCCUCGUGAUGAUAACUGGUAAGGAAAGAUACAUGACAAUGUUAUUUAGCCAUGUUGUAUGUCGUGUGUAUGGUUAUUUGAUUUUUUUAGCAAUCCAUCCACUGGAGAUGAGCCGGACAAGGAGGUCGCAUCAUCCUCAUCUCUUGCCUCAUCUCUGACUCAACCCGCCCGCAGCAUUUGGUAACAAAGCAAUCAAAUACAACUGUUCAACUCUGCAACAUGGGUUCUUGAGAAUUGCGAGUCGUAACAUCCUUGUCUCGAGAGAAGCAUGGAAAACAAGAGAAAAGCCUCAGGAGGCCUUGAAGCUAUUUCUUCAAGACUUAAAGCAGAAGGGAGAACACCAGGCAGAUGAAGGGAGAACACCAGGCAGAUGAAGGGAGAACACCAGGCAGAUGAAGGGAGAACACCAGGCAGAUGAAGGGAGAACACCAGGCAGAUGAAGGGAGAACACCAGGCAGAUGAAGGGAGAACACCAGGCAGAUGAAGGGAGAACACCAGGCAGAUGAAGGGAGAACACCAGGCAGAUGCUGUCCCGGUGCGGAACGCAGCACACAGCCAUGAGGAGCGGGACAAGUGCCUGAUUUCUUUUUACAAAGAAACACUAGACAAAACCAUCUGGACGCGACCUUUCAAGUGCCGUAUUCUAGGUAGAAGUUUAACAUCGAGGCAAGGUCAUGUCAACUUUUUGGGAUCACGCAUGCACCUCGAAAUCAUGACGGUUGUAUUCAUUUGGUUUAGGGAGAGCAGACGGAAUUGUCAAGUUUUUCAAAUUGGAGCCUACUGUUUGCAUUCAUCUAACGGUAUAUUUUUGUGGUUACCUUAGCAUUGACGAAAACAACGGCCGGCGGCCCACUGGCACUGGUGAAAGCCUAGCCUGGGUUAAUCUUUGUAUUCCGGGUAGUUGCUAUACCCCACGGACUGUU